This 477-nucleotide ribosomal RNA is filed under the name uncultured bacterium. RNAcentral's name for it is "partial 16S ribosomal RNA". It matches the Rfam family "Bacterial small subunit ribosomal RNA", at positions 28 to 523 of the family's 1533-position model. The record is from RNAcentral.
GACGAACGCUGGCGGCGUGCUUAACACAUGCAAGUCGAACGGUAAGGCCCUUCGGGGUACACGAGUGGCGAACGGGUGAGUAACACGUGGGUGAUCUGCCCUGCACUUCGGGAUAAGCCUGGGAAACUGGGUCUAAUACCGGAUAGGACACUGCCUGCAUGGGUGGUGGUGGAAAGCUUUUGCGGUGUGGGAUGGGCCCGCGGCCUAUCAGCUUGUUGGUGGGGUGAUGGCCUACCAAGGCGACGACGGGUAGCCGGCCUGAGAGGGUGACCGGCCACACUGGGACUGAGAUGCGGCCCAGACUCCUACGGGAGGCGGCAGUGGGGAAUAUUGCACAAUGGGCGCAAGCCUGAUGCAGCGACGCCGCGUGAGGGAUGACGGCCUUCGGGUUGUAAACCUCUUUCAGCACCGACGAAGCGCAAGUGACGGUAGGUGCAGAAGAAGGACCGGCCAACUACGUGCCAGCCGCCGCGGUAA